This is a long non-coding RNA of Homo sapiens (human), 401 nucleotides long. RefSeq lists it as uncharacterized. Lineage: Eukaryota; Metazoa; Chordata; Mammalia; Primates; Hominidae. The transcript is spliced from 2 exons. The record is from RefSeq and is a predicted model, not a curated record.
UAUGCUACUGUGCUCCAGCCUGUGAGACAGAGUGAUAUCUUAUGUCAAAAUAAAUAAAUAAGUAUUGGUGAAAAUAUAAUAGGAUAAAAUUGCAAGCCAUAGGAAAUGGAAGUCUAGCACUUACAGAGAGAUGGUAAUAUUGUGAAGCAACAGUGUAUUGAAAUUAUGAAAUAAGAGUUUUUCAUGCAAAUGUGAGGAAUUUGCUGAGGACAAGUAAGAAGAAGGCCAAUUCCUAUUGUGCAAAUCCUCUGGUCACUGGCUUCAACUAAUAAGGACAAGCAAAAGCAUAGGAAGUCAUUUCCCUCCUACAAAGAUCAUUGCAAUGAAUGGGAACUGGUGCUUUCUGUGGCUCACGCCCAGUGGGUCUGAGGGGAAAUAGAAUCAAUAAAACUUUAAACAUA